CAUCAUCAUCACCAUCCCUGAUUAGUCUUCGGGCGUUUGGUGCUGGAAGACAAGGUCUUCCGGUUAAGCGCAAAAGAUUCACAGAGCCCUCGGAAGAUCCUCUUCCGAGGGUUUUUUA
Molecule: small RNA, 118 nt
Filed under: Frischella japonica
Lineage: Bacteria; Pseudomonadati; Pseudomonadota; Gammaproteobacteria; Orbales; Orbaceae
Description: Histidine operon leader
Rfam family: Histidine operon leader
About the family: At least 6 amino acid operons are known to be regulated by attenuation. In each a leader sequence of 150-200 bp is found upstream of the first gene in the operon.
Source: RNAcentral